AGCACACCCACACCAGCUCCCCUUCUGGGAGACCACCCCUGGCUUUGCUUCAGGGGGAGACAUUCCCAUCACCUCCAGCACAGCCAUGCUGAGGAUGCUCUGUGAUGAAGAAGAGUCACCCACUUGGUUUCUUCGCUCUGGGCAGUGUUCAUGGCACAGAGCCUCAGCUGUGGUGGCUCUGUUUGAACUCUGAGGCCAACUGGCUGUCCAAAAGACAAUUGCAUGGGAAAGCUGUGCCGGCGUAAGACAAAUCGUCAGUUUACCACCAUCACACACCUUGUACAGAUGUUCUUCAGUUUAACUGCCACUGCUGUGUAAAGUGCUUAUUUCAAAGUGAAAAGGCUGUUUUUAUCCAGAACUGUCCAGAAGACGUCAUAGUGCUGUAAUUAUAUCAGCAAUAAACAGUGAAGCUGCCACGGAGAGAGGAGCAAGCACAGCAAGGAGUUCUGCAGGGUGCUGGUGCCAAGCCAUAUCAAGGCAAUAGAAUUUAUGGCCACUAUUAUCUGCGUGAGGUAUAUUUAUGAUUCCCCUCCCUGUUGCUCUGUUAUCUUCAAAUCUCACAAUAUUUGUAUAUUAAUUCCCACAACAUUCCUGUAGGUAAGGAAAUUGCAUACAAGAAGCCCAGUAUUGGAGUCUCUUCAUGCAACAUGGAGCAGGGUUUGGAAGGUGGAGAAAUGAGAGAAAUUUUCAGCAGUUACAGAAACUACUAAUCUUACAUAAAACAGCAGAAGGUACUGCUAGAGGAUACAGGAUAAAUGAAACAGUAUUCCUUUUCUGUUACUGAGAAAACCUUCACACUGAUACAGUGAGUUUAUACUUUCAUGGCAUCUUUGCCUAAAUUUUUUACUGUGACAU
RNAcentral lists this long non-coding RNA (855 nucleotides) under Junco hyemalis (dark-eyed junco). RNAcentral describes it as "lncRNA (ENSJHYG00000011422.1)". The record is from RNAcentral. Lineage: Eukaryota; Metazoa; Chordata; Aves; Passeriformes; Passerellidae.